UUUUCCGUUGAAGCCUGUGGAUCACAAAAUGGAGUUCCACGCAUUGGUUUUGUAUACACCGAUUAUUGUGUUAUGUUUUGUUAGUCAAGGUAGGCAACGUACAUGUGAUACAAUAUUGAAAGGUUGUGAAAAUGAUUAUAAUCGCAUUCAAACAAAACGAAAAAGCAAAAAUGAAUUAAAGCAAAAUCAAAAGACAAAAGAAAGAAAAAACUAAAUUAAAUGAAACUUAAAAUCGACAUAAAGAAUGUGUCAAAGUGACAACAACCUGACCAAAGAACAGAC
RNAcentral lists this long non-coding RNA (282 nucleotides) under Mytilus galloprovincialis (Mediterranean mussel). Lineage: Eukaryota; Metazoa; Mollusca; Bivalvia; Mytilida; Mytilidae. The record is from RNAcentral.